AGAACUGAUAAUUCGACAGGUAGAAUGAAGGGGUAACGCCCUGAAAUGCCGCCCUAAUACUCCGACCGGCGUUUGCAGGUGUAAUACUGCAAGGGUUGGGAGCUCGGUGAAGUCGGCUGAAAGACACCGUAAGCUGUGCCUGCACAGCACGAAAGCUGGCCAGAGGUGGGUGGUGUGUCCUAUAGGUCGGGGGUCUAUAAA
Molecule: non-coding RNA, 201 nt
Filed under: chicken gut metagenome
Source: RNAcentral